Molecule: ribosomal RNA, 497 nt
Filed under: uncultured bacterium
Lineage: Bacteria
Description: partial 16S ribosomal RNA
Rfam family: Bacterial small subunit ribosomal RNA
Source: RNAcentral
GAUGAACGCUGGCGGCGUGCCUAAUACAUGCAAGUCGAGCGAACAGACGAGGAGCUUGCUCCUCUGACGUUAGCGGCGGACGGGGGAGUAACACGUGGAUAACCUACCUAUAAGACUGGGAUAACUUCGGGAAACCGGAGCUAAUACCGGAUAAUAUAUUGAACCGCAUGGUUCAAUAGUGAAAGACGGUUUUGCUGUCACUUAUAUAUGGAUCCGCGCCGCAUUAGCUAGUUGGUAAGGUAACGGCUUACCAAGGCAACGAUGCGUAGCCGACCUGAGAGGGUGAUCGGCCACACUGGAACUGAGACACGGUCCAGACUCCUACGGGAGGCAGCAGUAGGGAAUCUUCCGCAAUGGGCGAAAGCCUGACGGAGCAACGCCGCGUGAGUGAUGAAGGUCUUCGGAUCGUAAAACUCUGUUAUUAGGGAAGAACAAAUGUGUAAGUAACUAUGCACGUCUUGACGGUACCUAAUCAGAAAGCCACGGCUAACUACGUG